AGUGAACGCUGGCGGUAGGCCUAACACAUGCAAGUCGAACGGCAGCACAGUAAGAGCUUGCUCUUACGGGUGGCGAGUGGCGGACGGGUGAGGAAUAAAUCGGAAUCUACUUUUUCGUGGGGGAUAACGUAGGGAAACUUACGCUAAUACAGCAUACGACCUACGGGUGAAAGCAGGGGAUCUUCGGACCUUGCGCGAUUGAAUGAGACGAUGUCGGAUUAGCUAGUUGGCGGGGUAAAGGCCCACCAAGGCGACGAUCCGUAGCUGGUCUGAGAGGAUGAUCAGCCACACUGGAACUGAGACACGGUCCAGACUCCUACGGGAGGCAGCAGUGGGGAAUAUUGGACAAUGGGCGCAAGCCUGAUCCAGCCAUACCGCGUGGGUGAAGAAGGCCUUCGGGUUGUAAAGCCCUUUUGUUGGGAAAGAAAAGCAGCAGGUUAAUACCCCGCUGUUCUGACGGUACCCAAAGAAUAAGCACCGGCUAACUUCGUG
RNAcentral lists this ribosomal RNA (492 nucleotides) under uncultured bacterium. RNAcentral's name for it is "partial 16S ribosomal RNA". It matches the Rfam family "Bacterial small subunit ribosomal RNA", at positions 29 to 507 of the family's 1533-position model. The record is from RNAcentral.